CCAUCGCCAUCUCCAUCCACCAUACCUCUCCACGUCCCCGAUCUCUUUCUUGUGUAUAUUUAUCGUUUUACCACCUUGUGAUGGGUUUAUGACUAUUUACGACAUCAGUGAUAGCUGUAUUUGUGGUUAACUUUGGUCCAUACGGGCCAUUCCCAAGGAUCCCCAGCCACCUUAUCUGCCAACCAAACUUCCUCGGUUCGGGGUUUUGUAGCCCUAACUAAGAUCGAUCCUGCGCUAAAUGCUUCCCUGGUAAACAACAAACAACAACAACAACCACCUGCUGGAGGACAUAUAUAACCAUAUCUACCAUAUCUUCUGGAUCUACGAUACUCCAAAUAUCACUUGAACUUACUCAAUCCCUACUGACAUGAUACUCACCACUCUUUCAUAAUGCUGCGCAGCCUGCUCGGAAGGGCUACCGAUCCUCCGGUCUCCUCUACCAGCUCCUCCAAGUCCCGCCGCCGUCAGAGAGACUCUGAUGACGUUUCCACCAUUUCUUCGUCUUCUCCCCGCCGUCGCAGAGGUGACCACGACCACACCUCUUCUUCUUCAAGCUCCCGGCGCAAGUCGUCUUCCACUACUACUCCUCACACUUCCCGAGGUGACGAUCGAGGAAUUGGUCGAGUAAACGUAGAUGACCAUCACGCCCCUGCUUCAUCCGCCCAUUCCUCUGGCAGACAUGGUCGCGAUAGCACCGCUAGAUCAACGGCGUCUAGCUAUGCAACAGCUGAUCCAACGGGGAGAACCCCGGAGGACUAUGAUGGCUCUGUGCUGAGGCCAAAACAUGGGCGCAACGAUGAUGGGCGCUUCGAUGCACCCAAUACUCGUCGCGAGCGAUCCAGGAGCGCUGAUCGAGCUGAUCGAAGGUAUAGGGGAGAGAGGGAACGUGAAAGGGAUAUCAAACCACAUUCGCACCGGCGAGCUAGGUCUGAAGUAAUUGUUAACAACCCAAAUGACUACUCCCGUAGUCGAGAUGGCACUAUGUCGUCACCUGGAGAUCAAGGGUUUGUGACGGAAAUCUCUCAGCCUGGGUUUAUGCAAUUUCCUAUGCAACAUGACAAUACCUUUCCUGGUGCAGCGCCUGGAACCGGACCGUUAGAUACCCAUCAAAUGUCUUUUUCGCACGCUUCUCCUUACCCACCUCAACAGUUCCCGGUCGGCCCGUCACCAGCGGAUCCAACGGUUCCAAUUCCGGCUCCAGAUCUAGGUGAGGCAGCGGAGUAUUAUGGGGACCAAGGGGAGUCAGUAGCGACCCAGCCUGGCGUGAGACCCAAUCCGCCAUCCCUCAUUGUUGGAGCUGAACCACAUUUGAUGGCUGCGUCAGCAACGCCAAAUCCCCCCGCUGAACCAUCGUCUAUGGGACAAGUGGGUCAUGCGGCCGACUUCUACGGCGAUUCUUCACCAGAAGUUACUAAUCAACAGCAGCAACAUACCGAUGGCCCCGGCUUACCUGCCGAUCUUCUGCCGGACAAACCCCCUAAACCAUCCAAACCAUUCAAACCGGGAGGGCCAGGAAAACCGUCAGUCGCUGUUGCGGGAGUAGCAGGGGCAGCUGCAACUUACGGAAUCAGUUCAUUGAUGGGAAGUUCCAAUGAACACCACUCUACUUCCUCACCAUUUUCUCCUCACCACGAAUCAACACUGCAUCCCGCCCAGCAGCCAGACAAUCCUCUGUUCAAUGGUGGACGCCCACCAAAACCAAACAAGCACCAUUCCAUGCCUAUUGUAGGUGCCGCCGCACUGGGCGCUGCCGCAGGAUAUGCCGCAGCGACAAGCCAAACGACUGUCUCCCCGCAGGGACCCAGCAUGUACUCUGGUAUCGUACACCAGCAACCCUUCCAAACGGCCCAGCCAUAUCAACCAGGUUCCUUAGCCUACCACCAACGCCAGCAUGGUCCAUUUAGAAAGUUUGUAAAUUUCUGGAAAGACUCAGAGGCUGUCGCCCAGUAUGAGGAAUACUCCGAAUACACCGGUAUUUGCAAAUAUUGCUUCGAACCGGGAACUACUUCAAGGGAUGCGCCGCGUAAACACCGCCCUGCCAGACGUAGGUAUUCUGACGAGUACCGUGGUAGACAAACUAGAGUGGAAAAGUUGAGCAGAUAUCCCUCAUCAUCUGGUGAUGAGAGCCGUCGUACAAAGUCUAACAAGAAAUCUUGGCUUGCAGCCGGCCUUGCUGGUUAUAUUACUAAGUCACUUCUUUCUGACGGAAGCAAAAAAGAGUUUGAUGAUCUAAAUAGUAUUCGUUCUGGGCGACCUGAUAGUUUCACGACAAGUACUAGCGCUUCAUCUCUAGGGAAGAAGAAUCGUACGUCUGAGCCACCUGCAAAUUACUCUAUUCGCAGUCGCUCUCCGAUGGGACUUGACACGCGACACCGAAAGGAUGAUGCAAGCUGGCAUAGUGGUUCAUAUGAAACAUCCCGCCACGGGAACGGUCGACCAAAAUCGCGAUCACGAUCGCGUUCCCGACCUACGUCUCGUGAGAAGAUACAUUCCGAUUUGAGAACAGCAGCCACUGCUGCCGGUGCUGCAUCCGUCAUAUCAUCUGUAUCACAUAUAAGCCGCAGCAGAUCCUCUAAGAAAUCCCGCAGCAGUCGAUAUUCUUCAUCGAGCAGAUCCACAAUUGAUAUUUCUCGCAACCAUAGUAAACCCGGUUUGGCUGGACUCACAUCUUUCUUCAGUGCACCAUCAGAAAAAAAACCAAAGUUGUAUGCGAAGGUGGAUGGUAAGAAGGUGAAAAGAAAAAAGAAGGCAAAAGGAUUUUUUAGCUUCUCUUUCUCUUCCUCUGAAGGAUCAUCCGCGUCUUCGUUUUCGUCCUCAUCCGAUGAUGCUGAUCUGGCCUUCGGGACGGGAUAUAUCAAAUCACCACGAUCUGCAAAAAGUAAAUCCCAAUCAAAAAAUCGUACGGAUGACCACGAUGUUGAUGCGGCACUCCUUGGACUAGGAGCGACAGCCGUGGGCCUUGCAGCAACGGCUUCGCAUAUUAAGGGGAGACGCAGACGCGACCGCCAUUCUUCUACCAGCAGCUCCCAAUCGCCGCAUGCGAUCUAUGGGCGUGAUCCUAAGCCUAUCGGCAUUUCUAAGCGGACUGAUGAUGAUGGCUGGGAAUCCGUAUCCGAUGAAUCUUCCCCGUCUAGUGUGGAUUCUGCGUUGGCCUAUGGUGGACGUGCGGCGCCAUCUCUCUCGUCCGACUCGGGUACCUCUAAAUGGGGUUGGAGGUGGGGCGGCAAGAAAAAGAGUUCAAAAUCUACAAAGUAUUCUGACCAGCCUCCGGAUUUGGGGCGGUACCCUCAACAGUCCACGGCUGGGUAUCCACCACAUCAGACCCCUAGCAGCGUGGGCAGCCUGGCAUCAAUGCAAAAUGUUUUCCCAACACCCACGCAAAACCCAUCGUUAUAUGACGUGGAAAACCAAAACUAUUCUUCUCCACCAAACAUUCAAUCACAAGCACCCCCGUUAAUGGCCCGGGCACCUGGCCCCGCUCACAUCCAACAUCCUCAACCAAUUGUCCCCCUAUCCCAAGCACUUUACACAUCGCAGGCUGAACUAGCUCAAUCCUACAAUGUUCCAAGCGGAGGUCAACCUGGCUUCCCCGGAUCUUUUGAUGAAUACGACGAUCGUCACGUACCUGUCCCUGAGUCGAAAAUCAGAUACGGAAUUGCUCCAUUAAUGGAGAAAUCAUCAAGGGACGCUGACUACUACGUUGACAAUGGUAACAACCAUUCCCCGCCACGCAGUGGAGGACGGCCUCUUAGUUCCCGCAGAAGAGACUCUUCGCCUACAAUUUCGCACGCGCGCGAUGGAAGCCCUAGGCCAAAACAACCUAGGCGUAGUACUAUGUCUCAAGUUCAAUUUGAUCUUACAAAGGAGCAGGAGGAUAAAGAGCGCCAGCAGUUGCGGUAUGAGGAGGAAAAGGAAGCUAGACGGCGUGCAAUGGAAUUACAUGUGCUGGCGGAGAAAGAAAGGAUGGAUAGGGAGGACGACGAUCGUAGUGUGGAAUGGGAACAGAGCCGUGAGCGUGAGCGCCAGCGUGAGAAUGUGGAUAGGAAAUCUCGUGAAUCGACUUCAAGCGGUAGACGUAGCGAUGUGACUGAAGCGUCUAGUUCAUCCUGGGUUUCCCCUGUUGCGGCUGUGGCUGGUACUGCGGCUAUCACGUCCUUGGUAAGUGAAUUGGAUGAGAGGAAGCGGCAUCAAGAACGGCGGGAAAAGAGGAGGAAGGAGAGGCGCGGGUACGCCAAUGAGAGAGAGCAGGAGAUUGAGGAAGAUAAGGAAGGGGACUGGUUUGAGCCUGUUGCCGGGCCCAUUGAAGAGGGCAAGGAUAAGAUGGAUACCAUUGUCAGCACCGAGCCUGAUUUUGAUAUCAAAGACAUCCCAACAACGAAGAUUCGCCUUGCGAAAAGAGCGGCUGAUCGCGUUAGGUCAUCGCCUGUUUAUGACAAUUAUGCAGAAUACUUCGUCCCACCAGACGUACGGUCUAGCGGUGAUGAGCAUUCUGCCCAUUCCACUUCGGACGUAGAGUCUUCGUGCCCACCUAGUCCUAAUGUCAUUCUCAUCGAACCGCGGAGUGUCCGACUCGAGAGGGAAAUGGCGGCUAUGUUGGCGGAACAGGGGGUGCCUGAAAUUAAUCUUCCCUGGCCUGUUCCUCGCCUUAAUUUAAUAACGCCUACGCCGCCACCGAGUAUUGCACCAUCUGUCGUUGACCAGAAGGGCGGAUGGCCGCCACCCAUACCACCUAAGGAGCUUUCGGAUUCGCAACGCGACAUUUCCCCAUCUCGAAUUAGCGAUCCUGUUAUCGAUAUGGAUGACAAGUGUGUGCGUGAGAUUGACGCUGCGGAUAUCAUCUCUGAACAUGUUAAAGCUGCGGACACGCUGCACGAUCCUGAGUUAACAACAUCAGCCUUGUCACAACCAGAACCACAUGAAGAAAGGGACGAUAGUGCAACCAAACCGCUCGAAGAACUGAAUGAACAACCGCCCAAUGUUGUGACUGAAGUUGAAGAUGACUCCGUCGAUGAGGAAAUGCCGCGACACGAGCAUAUCCCCGGUGGCUUUGGAAACGAUUUCGAAUUCGCUGCAACGCUCGCUGCUGGAGCGACGCUGGCAGGCUUCAGUUCCGCUGUUGUCACGGAGGAUCCCACGUACCACCAACGCGACUCGCCACCUGGCUCAGAGGAGGAGGGCUAUUUUGCUUCCCCGAUUGCAGGGGCGAUUCUAGAACGACGGGGUAGCCCUCCUGAUGGUGGGAAGUAUUCUACUACGACCUUCGGAUAUGUUGAGGGUGGGGAGGUGGGGCAUUCUGACGAUGAUGGCUUGAAAACCGAGGGAGGCGCUGGGGCGGUUGCUGCUGAUGAGCUCCCCGAGGAUGCUGGCGGUGAUAGAGGAGAGAUUCUGGAACGCAGUGGGAAGUUAAUAGACGCUGGUUUCAUGACGACUACUGCUGAGGUAGCCGAGAGGAGUGAUGAGAAGCCGGCAAAACUCUCGAAGAAAGAGAAGCAGAAGAAUGAUAAGGCAGCUCAGCGGGAAUCUCAGGGCCAUGAUGGAUCCUCUAAAUCUGCGGAGAAGCCCGCAUUUGAAUCAGCUGCCCUGCUUGAUCCACUCGCAGAGGAGCGGAAGGAGUUUGAGAUUUUAGAAGCAGAAGCGGGAGGGUCUGUACACACCACCCCAACGACUGACAAACCUUCCAGACAUUAUGAUACAGUGGAUGAUAACGAAUUCUAUGAUGCCGAGGACGGAUCGCCGCGCCAUUUAGAUGAAGUCAAUGGUAAAGAGGAGGAUCGUGAGACUGUUUUUGCUAAUGUCGAUGAUCGUGAUGAUGAUAGGAGAUCUGUAAACCAAGAUGACCCUGUCGCUGACCCCAACAAAUCCAUUUCUGCAACUGAUCCUGUUUCGUACAGUGUGCAGCAGGACGUGGAACGGGGCGAAUCCGAAGGGACGGAAAAGCCAUCUAGAACCGACCAGGAUGAAUCCACUGCAGAGGGUCAAGACCGACGUUCCAUGCCAGGGAACUUUUCUGAAGAACCCAAACAGUCGAAGAAAGCGAAGAAAAAGGCGAAGAAAGCUGCCAAGGAUGCUGCCUUGAACAAUGAUAACUUUGAACGUGGACCUGAUCCGGAGAUGGAACCCGAAGCGCAAGUUGAAGCGGAUAAGGCACCUGUUCAUUCCGUAGAACCUGAUCUUGAAAUGGAGUUUGACAUUGUCAAUGCCAGCAAAAAGAAAUCGAAGCGGAAAUCUAAGGGGAACGAUAGACAAGUCAAUCCCAAGGACAAGGAGGCACUUGCUGGCUCCAUCAACGGUUCCAAUGAAGACCCUGUCCGUGCCGUUGAAGGAAAUGGAGAACAUGACGAUGGGACCGAAUCAAUGACUGCCUGGAGCCGGACGGAAGGAGGGGAUGAUGCAGAGUCUCUGAAGUCUUCCAAAUCCAAGUCAUCAUCCAGGACAAAAUCAAAGCGUCGGUCGAAGCGCGAUAGUGAUACAUUUCAGAAGGAUCCUUCCACGUCCGCUUCUGCUGUGUCCGCGCCUGCUAAAAUGGCAGAUAAUGACAAGACUGAGCGACGUAAGAGCAAGGAUGGUAGCAAACGGAGCAGCAGCCACGGUGGUGGUGGUGGUGGUGGUGGUGGUGGUGGUGGUGGUGGAGGUUUCUUUGGGCUUUUCGGCGCUUCCAAAUCUCGCGACUCUUUGGCUGACGAUGCCCGUGCACCAGCGAAGGAUAUUCAGUCUGAGGCUGGUGUCAAUGAUUUGGACAAUGUAAGCGCUUCGUCGGGGAAGAGGCGGAGGAAGAAGAGAUCUUCCAAAGGUGGGAAUGAUGGCGUUGAGUUUGGCGGUGAUGAUGGUUUAAGUGGUAGUGAGGGUAGUGAUGGAGAAUGGGCGAAGAAAGAGAGUGAGGAACCAGAUCACGCCACUAAAGAGAUGGAUGCAAUGGAGGAAGCUGAAUCUCCGCAUCGUCGGAGGCGGAAAGAUCGAAAACACCGAUAUGAGGAUAUUGUUGAAUCCGCGAGGAGUGUAGAUGGGAAGAGCAAUGACGCGCGCUUCAUAACGUCUAACGGGCAUGAUGAUCGUGACGCCAGUGAGGAAAGUAAGGAUUACACAGAAAGCCAAUCUUUUUUAGGCGCGCACCCCGAAAUGCCAUUGACGCGUGAUGGUGCUUCGGGGUUGCUUGGUUCUCUCCUUCAACCACAAGAGGCGGCCAGGGGCACUGCUCCUGCGACUCUCAUGCAGACCCGGAUGCGGAGCAGAUCGGCGUCUCCCAUGACUGGAAAGAGGCUUUUCGAUCUGAUACCAGCUCAAUCGCAAAGUCGGCCUGGGUCACCCACAACGGCUACUCGGAGUGAAGAAGCGCUAAGGCUACAUGUAGAUCCAAGCUCGACUUCCCACAUUAUGUCUUCACCGACUGCGGUGCCUAUACAUUUCCGACGACCGAAACCGUCUCCAGGUGCUCGAAAAACGUCGUCUGUUUCUAGUCCAGGAACGCCAGAGGACACUGUGGGAUCUCCCACAUCGAAGCUUGGAAGUGGCAGUAAACGACCCAGGUCAACGGAAUUUAAGACCUCAAGGGAGUUCAGACCAUUGUGGUUAGUGGAGCGUCACUCACCAGCGAAACUGGAAAAACAGCCGGAAGAGCCAUAUCCAUCACUUCCCUCUAGUAAAACAGCAUCGCGGACUUCCUCUGUCGAGGAUUUGACCAGCUAUGACCUUACGGAGGGUUUCACUGGAGAGGUUUCUCAAGCUUAUCAGGUUCAUCCUCAACAGCAGUUCGCCCAGCCACCAAAGCGAACAAGAGGUCUUUCCUUACAACUUGACACCAACGACACUUCCCUCUCUGAUCCUGAUUUCUUAGGGUCGCAGCAGGCAACCCCCACGGCGGAAAGUUUCCAAGAAGCAGCCCAAACGGCGAAGAAGAAGAAGAAACCGAAGCCGGAGUUCCAUUCCCCUUCUGAUUUGCUUUUUGAUCCCUCUUCUCGCCAAAUUAAAUUGCCGGAAUCUGCGGCGCUGGACUCUCUACAAUCAUCGGAAGGUUUUGUGAGAGACGAAAGGACCCUGGUACCUACGGAGUCUGAUGUGGAUUUGGAGUUACCGCCUCUGCCGCGCUCGUUGACCGCUUCGCCUGAUCUGAGAGAGUCACUACCCCCGCUACCCGAGAGCCGUCCUUCCACAGCUGACUCUGAAAUUGAGCCUCAGUUUUUCACACCGACCGCAGAGCUAGAUGCGUUGCCUCCAUUACCGGGCAGUCGUCCGUCGACAUCUCAUACUACUGCUGCUGAAGCUCAAUUGAUGGGUCAUUAUAUCACUGGAGCAGGUGCGAGUUUUGCGGCUGGUGUGGCUGCACAGCUCGCAAAAUUAGAACUAAAACCUGAAACUGCGUUCUUAGAUGCUUCCAAUGUUGGUCAAGAGAUUACGCCUAGCACCGAAACAGUCACAGACACUGAACCCGCAAGGGAGACCGUGUCAAUUGUUGAAGCCACUCCAAAAUUACUUGAAGAACCAGCUCUGGAACCGACGGUGGAGACAAAACGAACUCCACGGUCACAGGAAGAAAUGCAGCCAGCACUACCCGUUGUUGAUUCAGCUUCGUCAGCUCUAGAUGAGGUACCAACCAAGCCAAUUCCCCACCUUUCAGAGCCUAGUCCAUCGAUCGAACACACUCCACCGGAACUCCUGAAGGUUGAAAUGGAUGAUUUCCAGCCAGCUUCAAAGAAAUCGAAGAAGGCCAAGAAAAACAAAAAGAAGGGCAAGAACGCAACUGCCCCCGACGGCCCGCCCCCCCCCUCUAGCAGCGAGCAUGAUUCUGUUUCCCAAACAAUCAGAAAUGACAGUGCCGAUGUUCCAUUGGCUCCGCCAAGCGAAAUGUCGGAGGAUAAGCAAGAAAUGGCGUCCGUUGAACUGCCAACGCCAGAGUCUCAUUUUCUAGAAUCAAUAGAGCCAAAGUCGCAAAUGACUAGAGAACUUCCCAUUCAGGAAGAAUUUUUAUCUCAUCAUUUCCUGGCGGCUGCGGACACCAAGGUGGAAUUAGCUACGCCGACUAAGAAAAACAAGAAGGGCAAGGGUAAACAAAAGCAGAAGGCCGGAAAAAUUUCUCACCAGGAGUAUGUCCCACCAGUCGAGGAUGAGCCCGCCAUCGAACCUCAAACUCCAAGCCAAGGAAAAGAGCCAGAGGUUUUCGCAUCUCCUUCGGAGCAAGUAGUCGGUGAUAUUACUGAACCAACCAAGGAAAUGAGCCUUGUUGACAUCCCUCUACCUGAAGACGAUAAUUCCAAACUUUGGGAGCCUACCACUGUUGAGGGUGUUCUUGAUCUCGGUUUAGCCGGCGAAACAGAAAAUUUAGAGCCGGUUAUCAAUCUGCCGAAUAUAAAUGCUGACGGGCAAAUUCCGCAGAAGAUCGAUGAAUUCGAUCCUGCAAUGAUAGCGCUACCGGAUGUCGAGGAUGCAGAGCUUGAGGAGCCCAUUCAUGAAUAUUCCCCUGAUUCGAGAACUCUUUGUCCUGAGCAAGCUAAUAAUUUUUCCCACAAAACUGUUGACGAGUACGUUCUACAAUCGUCCAUGGAGCUUGACCCUACGAGUAUAGCGUUACCGGAUGUCGAGGAUGCAGACCUUGAGGAACCGAUCGCAGAGGGAUAUGUCCCUGAUUCGAGCUUUCCUUGUCAAGCGGAGACAACGAGCAAUUUCACCCCUGUUCUAGAUACGGAGAUGCAAGAAUCCUGCCUACAAUCAGCCGGAGAAAUUGAGCGUGGAAUUAUACCUCCACUAGAGAAUAAGGUCGGGGAUACGAAACUUCCGAAGGAAGAGUUGGUGGAGCCUGCUGAUCAACGAUUUGCUCCUUCAGCCGAUAAGCGGCCUUCUACACAUGUGGUCUUUGAUGUCGGGGGAGAUAGUUCACCAGUAUCUCAAAAAUUGACGACUGUCUUGCCUGAGUUACUACCAGCGGAACAUGUACCUCCUCCUGAACUCCCUGUUGAAAACACCGAGGAAUACGCAUCACAUAAGAAGGGGGAGAGAGGAAGCAAGGGUCGGAAGUCGAUUACAAAAGAUGAGCCAGCCGAAACCAAGACAAGUAAUGUUCGCCAGAGCCUCGAAUUAGUCGCGUGCAAAGAAUCUCCUUCUGAAUCUCAAGCUUCGGCCCCCGAUCCUUUGGUUCAAGAUAAAUAUGAGCACCGAUCUGAAGAGCAGGUGCAAGACGACGUUAACACAACGCUGUUGGACAAGGAAGCCAAGGAAUCUGCAUGUGACACUCUGGCCAAUGAGGGUUCACCACAUCUGAUAGGUGGAGUCGAUGCACAAAUCGACACGUCUAUAAAGGUCUCGAAAAAACAAAAAAGAAAGGAUAAGAAGAAGCAGAAAGCUUCCCUGGAAACUGAGGAGCAGCCACUACAAUCAGGGUCUUUAAUAGACACGGUUGGCGAGGGAAGCACUGAGGCUCAACCCGACCCUGAGCAAUUGACUAUGGAACCAGACGAUAUGCAGCACAUCACACCAUCAAGGUUAUCCGAUGACUCUAGCAAGGACAAACAACUGAUAGAGGAAGAUCAACAGCGAGAAGACUUGGAAAAACAAGGCCAAGGCGAUUCAGCAUUGUCAUUGGUUGAGGCGGAGCCAACAACUCACGAUCCUCCAUUGGUAAUUAGUGAAGACCAUGCCAUGGAUAAGGAAAUUUCGGACGACAUCUCUAGACCUCCCACAUCUAAUGACAAGAUUCCUUCGGAUGAACUUAGGAACAAGGAACCGCAUCAAAAUGAUAAGCCUGCGCCUGAUGUUCAGAAGUCUAAGAAGGCGAAGAAGGGCAAAAAGAAGCGGCAAUCGGUCACUUGGGAGGACGACGUUUUCCGUGCCGAAGGUCCCCAGACGGCACCUGAUUCUUCCACAAUGAAGGACGAUGAACUCCGCGCUGAAAUGGAGACACCCACAUUUACCCCAGCUGACAAUUUGGAUACUGAGGCACCGAAUACUUCUAAAAAUAAACGGAAAGCAAAAAAAGACAAGAUAAAGCGGAAAUCUUCAGAUUUGACAACAUCACAGCCUUUAAGCCCGUCCGAUGAGCAACCCCGUUUGCUAGUUGAGUCUAUUGCUGCAAACUCUGGGGAGCAAUCAGAGCUUUCCACGAAGUUGGAUCCCGAUACAUCCACAGGAUCACCUUCACUUGCUCCUGCUAACAAAGUAGACGAAUCACUUAUGGUAGAGUCUCCUCAAGGCCAGCCUCUCACUUUCGAGAAGGAUUUGGAAACAUUUUCCAUCCCUGGGUCAUGGGAAGACGAUGCAAAUAAAGUUAUCGAGGCUCCGCAUAAAGACAAUGAAAUAGCUCCUCACGAAGCACCACCUCCCAACGAUGACGGUAAUGAAUCUCAGAUUUCCAAAAAUAAGAAGAAGAAUCAAAAGAAGAAGAAAAGGUCAAGACAUUCUGAUUGGACUGAUGAAAAUACGUCUCCGCAGAUAGAAAAGAAAGAGAAUUCUGAAGCGACACUACCCGAGUCAUUGCUAGCAACAUGCCAGCCGCCGACCAUCCCAACUGAGCCACAUGAAAAAUCUGUGAUACGGGCCCUGGGUCCUCUCCACAAUUUAGUAGAGUCCCCUGUCGAACCUGAACCACUUAACACCCAGGAUCCUUUCAAGCCUUCCCAACAGGAACAGUUUUCUUGUCCCAGUGAAGCACCUGCGACUCCUGAUAGUCCCGAAGCAAUUGCGCAGGAGCCCCUACUGCAAGCUGCGGAAAUCUAUAUGCCUACGGAGCCGUCUAGACAUUUCGACACCGAUACUGAUGCCGAGAAAUUGUCGUGCAGGGUGGAAGCAUCCCAGGCUGAUACCUCUCUGCCUUAUGUGGAUAAUCUUGGCCCUGCCUCAAUUGCCGAAGAAAUCCAGAGGCCACCAACCAAUACUCUUCAACUGACGGCCACAGAAAUUGUCUAUGCCAGUAAAAGAGACGCUGGAACAGCUGAAGCAGCAAAAGAAGCUGAAGAGACACUUCCUUCUGAAGCAGUUGUCUCUGAGACAGUGACAAAAACGGAAGGACAAAUUCCCCCACCCCCAGCAGAAGCUGUAUCGCCUCCAUACUUGGGUCCGGAUCUGUUAAUUGCUUCUAAUGAGCCAGGUGAUCAAAUAAGUAACCUUGCAGAUACAGCCAUGGAUUCCGUUUUUGAACAAGAGCAGAUUUCGACUUCGUCGAAAGACAAAACCGGCGACACCAAACCAGAAUUCAGGGAGUCAACUGGAGCUGAAGAUAGGAAGGACGGCCAGGAAGAACCAUUGUUAAAAGUUGAAGAAUCACCCCAAUCUGUCGAGAUAGAGGGCCGGGAUGUCAUAGAUGUACACUCUGUGAAUGUCCUUGUUUCUGGUGAAAUUCCUCCAAGCCUGUCGGAACUUGUUGACUGCGACGUGGAUGUUGAGCAAUCAGCACAACCUGAACCUGAACCUGAACCUGAACCUGAAUUUCAACCCAACUUUCAAUCCGAACCCAGCAGCUGGAAUGUCAGGUCAACCAAAAAGGGGAAGCAAAAGAAGAACAAGAAACAAAGAGAACCUCGAGAGGAGAAGGCUCCCAUCCCAGAUGAAGAGAGUACUCUAUCAACUCCAGUGGGGUCCAUCUUGGAGCCGACCCGGGAGCCGAUGCCCAAAAUUGUCGACGAAAUGACUGCUAAUCGGGACUUCCCUAUCACGAAAAAAGGCAAGAAGAAAAAUAAAAAGUCUCGCGGUCUUGAAGAAAGUAUUCCCCGUACUAGCUAUCCAGAGCCAGUUGCAACUGAAAACGUUCUUGGAAGUUCGACGAUCAUUGAAUCCCUAGAUGAAAAGGAGGAAAGCCAGUGCUCUUUGGGUGUCACAUCCACUGAGACGGAAAAAAAGAAAACUAAGUUUAAAGCUCCAAGUAUCGAUGAAGGGACUGGCAAUCUUCAUGAGUGCCAUCCGAGUGGCUUAGCACCCACCACGGAUGAUGCGAAUAUCUCUGAAACAAAGGAAAAGGAACUAGAGCAACCGCAGGCGGAUAGUUGGCAUACCUGGGAUAUUGAACGAACCCAAAAAGUUAAAAAUAAGAAUAAGGAUCUCACUUUUGAGGAAGGUACUGCCAAUCCUGUUGAGCCGUAUGUGGAUGAUUCGGCUGAAGUUGUGGAUGAAUUGAACACCCCCAAAUUACAGAAAAUGAAAGUCGAGACGCAGGGGGAUGGGAACUGGAAUCGUCGGGAAGUCGCUAGUACUAAGAGAGACAAAAAGAAGAAUAAAAAGACCCAGGUUGUCCAAAACGACCCUCCCGGUGGGCCAGCACCACUAUCUGUUGGAGAGCCUCCUGCUCACAUCGACCCCGAGCCUCAGACCGAGCAUGAUAAAAAGGACUUGGGUGCCGCAUCACCAAAAAAAGGCAAGAAGAACAAAAAGGGUCGAGAUGUUCAACAAAAGGCUCAUUUAACUUUUGAACCCGAAUCGUGGGAACGUAUCGAACUUGGAAUGUCUGAAGAACCUAAUCGCAGCCCAUUGGAGAAGGGACAGAAGGUCAAAGAAAGAGGGAAGGAAGCUGCUGCUAGGCAUCUACACGACGUCGAAGAAGAGAAAGCUGCUAAAGCCGCCCAAACUCAAGAUAAGGCUUCUGCUACUAUCGAAGUAGACAGCACUUUAGGCGAAACCAAUCUUCCUGGAAUGGAAUCCCUGAUAGACGAUCAAGCAAAGGAGACUCCAAUAACGGAGGCGGAAGCACCUGACAAUAAUCGAAAGGCAAUUUCUGAGGCCGAUGAAACCGCCAAAUGUCCGAAGAUUGAACAAAGAGAUAUUUCUGACGAAACUAAACUAGACCAAAUCCCUGUUAAAGUUGCCGACCUUGUUGGUGAGAAGGAAAAAAAUGAUGUUUGGGAGGAACCAUCAAUGAAAAAGAAAUCUAGAAAGGAAAAGAAGAAUAAGAAGAGAACAAAAAGUGAAGUAAACGUUGGAUCAGCAACUGGAAAUGAAGUUGACAAUGGGGAGAAGGAAGGGCAGAAGCUCGUUGGUGAAGGAAAUGCGCCGCCGGAAAGGUCUCUGUUAAAGGAAAAGAGAAACAUAUGGCAGCAGCAAUUUGAUGAAAAGCCAACCAAACAUCCAGAACAAGCCUACAUGCAAGAGUCUUCUGCUCUUGACAUUCAUCCAGCCGAAGUCAUAAAAGAAUUCACGGGAGAAUCACAAGAGGAGACACCAGGGGAACCGUCGCAAGGGGAAAGAUCUAUUGUGGAGCCACAAAAUGAAGACGAUUACUGGCCACCAAUUGAUUGGGGUAGAGAUAAGGCUUGGAAAAUCGACGAACCUCAACCCGAGCCCAAACCAAGGGAACCUGACACUUCGUCCCUCGAUCUGCUUCUUUCGGGAGAUGAGCCGCAACCGCGCGAGGAGCCCUUUGAGCAACAACCAGUAGAUGCGCGGGUAGUGGUUGGCGAGAGCAUUGGCGAUUUUGAUGAAAAUGCGAGUCUUAUUUCUCAAGAAACACGCGAAAAAAGGAUUCCAGACGUGUCUUGGGCAUCAGCAAGUAGACCUCUGCCCAUGAACCCCGAACAAGUCGAGGUGCGCCGGCCCGGAAGCUCCCACAGCGAUGAACUCCCUCCUAUUUCAUUGGAUGUUGACGAACCUGGGAGCCUGCAAGGAGACAUUGACGUUACUGGAUUUCUUCAAAAACAAGACCACAUCGAACGGUUGACUGCUCUUUCCUCGGCCCCGCAAUCGUCAGACGCCGACCAUGAUUUGGAAGGAAAUCUCAAAAUAGAUUCGACCGGGGUCCUUGAUGGCACACACUCACCUGCUGAGCCUUCGGGGGCUACAGGAGCUGAUGACUUUCGGACUGCUAGCAGCAGGAGACAGAAUAAGGGAAAGAAAGGAAAAGCGAGAAGGAAAACUUCCCUCGGUAUACCAAAUGAAGCCGAUGAAAAUAUGCUUCAAGUUACAAAUGAAAAACCUGAAACACAGACUGAACUUGAAACAAGAAUGGAACGCUCCACCACAAUUACCAAAAAAUCCGAAGCGCUGGAGCCACCUGAAGGAUUCGUGGAUACUGGAAACGUAGACGACGAGUGUGAUUUUUGGGGUCUUGGCGAGAAGCACGAGAAGAAGGGCAAAGGCCGCGAGCAAGGACGGAAAGGCAUGCAAAGCGUCCCUCCAAAUGAACCAAAAGCUCCAUAUCCAACUCCAGUGGAAGCUCAAGAAAAGCCCACCAUCACAGGGUUUACUUCGCCAAGAAUGUUGGAGGAACCGGUUCAACCCCAACCCUCAGGAGUAGUGGCUAGUGUCUUCCCGUUUCUUGAACGGGUAUCUAGAAAACGGCCCUCACAAAAUGUGGGUUCCCAUGAAACCCCCGAACAAGAGACAAAGAAGAAUGCGCAAGGAACCUCGACUUCUUUUAUGGGGAAACAGUCGAUCUCGACAAAGGUACCUACUUUUCCACGAUUCGCCGAGCCAGUAGUUGAUGACGAAACCAUUCCCAAGUUUGAAGAUCCCAUAAAACGUCCACCAGGUCUCGAUCCAAUCCCGCAAGGCCCUGCAACUGAUGAGAAUAUCGAUCGUUCAAUCGAUGUGAGUGACAAGAAUUCCGAACCUGAAUUGCUAUCCAUCAAAGAUACUCGCAAACAGGAGCCUUCUUCUAUGGAUUUAACCUCAAAGAAUAAAUCACCCAUAUAUUCUCAUUCUCCUGCUUCGACGCAAGUUGACGUGGAGCAUUCUAGCCCGGUUUCCCGUGAAGCUCUCGGGGACAAACCUCAACAAUUCCCUGUGAUUCGCGACAUAUUUAGGAGUGAACUCAGCGGACAGUCAACUACGUUGUCAGAAAGCUACCUUCAGCGAGAGCAAAAGCAGGUUUUUGAUUCCCAAACCCAGUCGUCGGAACCCCCUCGCUCCAUAUUUGGAGGGCCCUACGGACUUGUAAAAGACCCGGAUAUUGUGAUCACACCUCCACGAACACCGCUCGCUACGAUAAAGGAGCAUGUUCUAACGGAGCCUCCACGAAACUCACGGAGCCGUGACAUUUCUGAUGUGGGUUCGCGUGGCCGAGUGAAAGCCGCACGACACUCAGCAAGCCCACAGUUGGUACUUGGACAGGAGCACAUUCUAUCACAGCCUAAAUCUCCGCAGGCUUCAAGGCUAUCUUAUCCGGGCAGCGAAGCCACGUUGGAUAUCCCUAAAAAGCGGCGUCCUGAGCAGUCACCCACCAGUGGAAAGGGACGAUCUGCCAGUAGUCCAUACGCAGAUGAGCUAAAAACCGCUGAAUUCCAGAAGGAAGCCACCUGGCCUGUCAAUGCGGGCAGUGCAGUACCUGCAAGUGGAUCUCCAGGACUACGUCGAAUCCACAGUCCUAGAAGUACAGAGCUUAGGGCGGCGAGCAAGGCCCAGGCGAGAGCACGUGAUCUGGAUCUCGACGUGGAGGGGAUUCCUUCGUCCAGCUCUUACGACCCGCUGACCGAUAAAGGGAAACGUGCGGUGCGCGGAAUGGAGGAUGUCUACGAAGGUUGGGGUGACGUACCAGGCUCCCCGCGGUCGCCAACCCGCCCAGCCAGCGUGCGAAGACGACGCAGCUUACAACACCUCCAAGACCUCGAAUCUCGUGUCGACCAGCUCGUAUCAGAGAAUCGCCUGCUUUCCACCGCCAAAUCAACCGCAGAGAAAUCCCUUGAAUCCUCAGCUAUUGCCCAACGACAGGCAGAGAAAGCGGUGCAGACACGUGACCAAGACAUCCGCAACAAGGACUUGGAGAUACAACAAUUGAAAAACUCGCUCGAAUGGUUCCGGAAAGAGGUUGUCCGCUUAACUGAAACUAACGAUGCCCUUGCGGCGACUAACACACAGCUGUCCACUUCUCACGAAGCUGAAGUCGGACAGCACGCGGAAUCCAAACAACUCUUGUUCGAAUCACAACAGGGCCUGAGGGAGCUUCAGGAUCGACACUCUCAACUGACCGCUGGGCUGGAGGGAAUUGUGCAAAACGAGAUAAAUAAUGUUCUGGCAUCAAAGGACGCGGAAAUCGAGCACUUACGUGGUGAACUAGCCGAUGCACAGGUCAAAAUCAAGGAACUUCAAAUACAGAUCAUGGAGACUAUGGCGGACGAUGUGCUUGUCUUCCGGGACGAAGAUUACUUCGAUGCGCAAUGCCAAAAACUCUGCCAGCACGUGCAGCAGUGGGUGUUGCGGUUCUCCAAAUUCUCGGACAUGCGACUAUGUCGCCUCACUAGCUCAAUCCGCGACGCGAAGGUCGCUUCUCGGUUCGAAAACGCGAUCCUCGACGGCUCAGACGUCGAUACUUACCUUUCCGAUCGUGUUCGACGGAGAGAUGUGUUCAUGUCAGUGGUGAUGACCAUGGUUUGGGAAUACAUCUUUACGCGGUAUCUCGCUGUCCAGCAGUGGAGGGCUACGACGCUAGCGCUACUUGCUCGACGAAGUGCGUUCCAUGAACAACGAGCCAGUGAUACCGAAGCUGUUGUCCAGGAAAUCUACCAUACCCUUUCCAAGCUACUCCCGCCUCCUCGUGAAUUGGAAAGUACAAUCGUAGAUUCUCUCCGCAAUGUCAUGCGAGCAGCAGUGGAACUUUCCAUCGAGAUGCGCACCCAACGGGCAGAGUACAUCAUGCUACCACCGUUGCAACCAGAAUACAAUCCCAAUGGCGAAUUAGCCCGCAAAGUCCACUUCAAAGCCGCGCUCAUGAAUGAACGGAGCGGCGAGACCACAUCGAACGAAGAGCUCGAAAAGCAAGAAGCAGUUGUGAGAAUUGUGCUGUUCCCCCUAGUAGUCAAGAAGUGCAGCGAUGAAGGUGAUGGUGAUGAGGAGAUUGUGGUGUGUCCGGCACAAGUGCUCGUAGCACGACCAGGGAAGGACAAGAAGGUCGUACGUGUGCUCAGUGGUGACCGGAUGUCCAUUGACCAGGGAAACCAGUCGAUGCAAAGCUUUCCGUCUAUCAACAUGGAUCCGGGCAACGUAAUCUGAGGCGUCACACUCGAUAUGGUGCCCGCUGUUCAUGCGAAUGUGGAAAUCGGGAGAUUGGCCUAGGGAUUUCGGCUUCGAAUUACAAUAUUUUUCAUUUCCCUCUUUUGCAUCUUUUUCUUUCCUCUUUUGAUAUUCCCCGAUGCCUGUCUGCAGACCGGCUAAUUUUUCAUCUCAUGUCUUUUUAUGUUUUUAUAUCUUGUCGAUGUUCCAUUUGUUUUCGGCAUUCCAUUCCGUUUGUUAUUUUCCCAUUUACUCUUAUGUUUAUUGAUUCCCCAGUUUGGCCUUCAUGCAUAGGAAGGGCAACGACGAUUUAUGACGAGAUAUGACGAUGCGCAGAGUAUUUUUUAGCAUAUAGUUCCAUGUAUGUAUAGUUUAGAGACGGUGUUACAAAAUGAUCAGAUAAUGGUAAUUUCGUUGGUAUG
RNAcentral lists this small RNA (18314 nucleotides) under Histoplasma capsulatum var. duboisii H88. Its description in RNAcentral is "Histoplasma capsulatum H88 hypothetical RNA". Lineage: Eukaryota; Fungi; Ascomycota; Eurotiomycetes; Onygenales; Ajellomycetaceae. The record is from RNAcentral.